Molecule: ribosomal RNA, 551 nt
Filed under: Alternaria tenuissima
Lineage: Eukaryota; Fungi; Ascomycota; Dothideomycetes; Pleosporales; Pleosporaceae
Description: eukaryotic LSU rRNA
Rfam family: 5.8S ribosomal RNA (bases 175-328)
Source: RNAcentral
AACUUGACCCUUUUAGGGGGGGCGGCGCUGAGACCUCUCGGGGUUACAGCCUUGCUGAAUUAUUCACCCUUGUCUUUUGCGUACUUCUUGUUUCCUUGGUGGGUUCGCCCACCACUAGGACAAACAUAAACCUUUUGUAAUUGCAAUCAGCGUCAGUAACAAAUUAAUAAUUACAACUUUCAACAACGGAUCUCUUGGUUCUGGCAUCGAUGAAGAACGCAGCGAAAUGCGAUAAGUAGUGUGAAUUGCAGAAUUCAGUGAAUCAUCGAAUCUUUGAACGCACAUUGCGCCCUUUGGUAUUCCAAAGGGCAUGCCUGUUCGAGCGUCAUUUGUACCCUCAAGCUUUGCUUGGUGUUGGGCGUCUUGUCUCUAGCUUUGCUGGAGACUCGCCUUAAAGUAAUUGGCAGCCGGCCUACUGGUUUCGGAGCGCAGCACAAGUCGCACUCUCUAUCAGCAAAGGUCUAGCAUCCAUUAAGCCUUUUUUUCAACUUUUGACCUCGGAUCAGGUAGGGAUACCCGCUGAACUUAAGCAUAUCAAUAAGCGGAGGAAA